AGCCGGGCUAACUCACCAUAAACCCAGCUGAUACACACUGACUGUAUUAUAACGAAGAGAAGCAGAGUCAUCUGCAUGAUUAGUUAUCAAACAGCUGCCAACAUUUCUGCGGGACGAGGAGGUAUGUUGAAACACAGGGAUAUGUUGAAACAGAUCACUUGGGAGGUGCAUUAUUGAUCAUAUCUCGUUACUGUCAUAACGAUGGCCUUGAAAUUCUAUAUUUUAUAUCCUAUAUCCUUAUAGAAUGAUGACUUCAAAUGACCUCCCACCUCUGUGACCAUGACCAGGCCAAUGAAGAAGCUACCCACACUGAUGAUGAGGAGAAGGAUUUUACGCCGAUGGUCAACUAGGAAGAUGGAGGAUACAUGUCUGAGAUAGCUGUCACCAAAGUCUCCAGAGCUACAAACUGAAGGAGAGAUGAUGGGGAAGUUCAGUGGAAACUCUGUUCUUUUAAAUACUAGCUACUCAUUCACAGUUUCACAUCCAAAAGUUUAGUGAUGAUUGCAGCAUCUAUUGUAGGUUAUGUAAUAUUCCUUCGCAAAGAAAAUAUUCCGUAGACCUUCAGGGCCACUCUAACACACCUCACUGUCUAAACCCAGUAGGAUUAUCAUGAUGAAGAAGAAGAUGGCCCAAAGCUGUGGUAAUGACAUCAUGGCCACGGCACGAGGGUAGGCGAUGAAUGCCAGGCCAGGACCUGUAUGCAGCAAUACAGAAUGAUGACUUCAAAUGACCUCCCACCUCUGUGACCAUGACCAGGCCAAUGAAGAAGCUACCCACACUGAUGAUGAGGAGAAGGAUUUUACGCCGAUGGCCAACUAGGAAGAUGGAGGGAUACAUGUCUGAGAUAGCUGUCACCAAAGUCUCCAGAGCUACAAACUGAAGGAGAGAUGAUGGGGAAGUUCAGUGGAAACUCUGUUCUUUUAAAUACUAGCUACUCAUUCACAGUUUCACAUCCAAAAGUUUAGUGAUGAUUGCAGCAUCUAUUGUAGGUUAUGUAAUAUUCCUUCGCAAAGAAAAUAUUCCGUAGACCUUCAGGGCCACUCUAACACACCUCACUGUCUAAACCCAGUAGGAUUAUCAUGAUGAAGAAGAAGAUGGCCCAAAGCUGUGGUAAUGACAUCAUGGCCACGGCACGAGGGUAGGCGAUGAAUGCCAGGCCAGGACCUGUAUGCAGCAAUACAGAUCUCUCCAGGUUGUUGUGAUGCUUGGCUGUCUAGCUGCUCAAUGCUGUCCUCCAGGUAUUGCCACUGUUCUCACUCACACUGCAGUACACACUGCCACCAUCAGCUGUGUGUCUCCGCCAGUUCCGGAAAGUCCACUCCUUGCAUACGUACUGUAAAUAUGAUGAAUCAAAGAUUGGCAAGGAAAUCCUCUUCAUCUACACUGUCCAACUGCAUUGUCAUGGAGCUGGAACCAGCAGAAGAGGAUAGAGUGGCCUAAAAGUUGUAUGUUGCUGUGGUGCCAAACUGCUGCAGAACUUCACUUGGUAGUUUAUGCUGGUAACAGGUAUCACCAGCCAGCUUCAGUCCGUACCGCACCAGGAGUACGGAGUUGAGUGUGUAGUGACAUUCUAUUUCUUAAUAGACUUGACUUAACCACACUCAUUUGGCUGAACAGCCGUUCAACCUCCGCAUUUGAGUGUGGCAAGGAGAUGGCAGCGAGUGCAGCUUUGCACAGUUCUUCAAAUGUAUUUGACCUGGAAGAGUCUGUGUAGUUAUUCACUUCACUCCAAAACUCGACUGUAUUUUCAGUUGAGUCCCACCUAAACAGAUGGAUGUUUCUCCAUUUGGAAACAAUUUGAUCAAUUGUUUGCGAUUAGUACCCCAGUAGCUCAGCUACUUUAAUAAUUUCAGGGGUGCCUUUAUUGUACUUGAGCUUUUCCUUAACACUGAACAAGGCCAUGUUUCGCAAGGCGUCUAGGUUGUCUGGGAGCCUUGCUUGCAGCUCCUUGCUUAAAGCAACAAUGUAGUUGAUGCACUGUCUACAAAUAACCUUUUUGUCCUCUGGCGCAAGACUGAGUUGGACACCGUGCUCUCGAAAAGGUACCCAAGGCAUCGUGAUGGACUGAGAUGUCCAUCAAUGGCAUCCUUCAGGACAUCAAUUUUUGCAAUAGGGUUGACUACUAGGCUGCUCAUUAAUUUUAAGAGGUGUACCAGAUUGUCCAAAAGCUGGACAGGAUCUGUUUGCUCUCCCUCAGCUGACUUCACUACAACUUGUAUGUCGGACAGGAUUGAUUUCCAGAAUGUCAGGUAGACAUAGUUGGUCUUGUCCAUCUACAUGGCGUGGAGCACAUCCACCAUGUAGCAAUGCUCACUGGCCUUGGUCAACUGAAAGUCAACUCAAACCCACAGUUGCUGGAGCAGACAGGGCUGGCAAAAAGUGCACUUCACUGACGUGUCGCGGUUUUGUCUCACCAGGGGUGCUGGUCGGAUUCGCGGUUAUCAUCGAAGGAAUGAGCGUUACACCGAGGCCUGUACUUUGGAGCGGGAUCGAUUUGCAUCAUUGGACUGAGCUUGCUGUCAUUGCAGGCAUCCUCCUCUCUCAUUUGGAACCCUUCCUGCAGGCUCAUCCUGACAUGACCCUCCAGCAUGACAAUGCCUCCAGCCAUACUGCUCAUUCUGUGCGUGAUUUUCUGCAAGACAGGAAUGUCAGUGUUCUUCCAUGGCCAGCGAAGAGCACGGAUCUCAAUUCCAUUGAGCACGUCUGUGACCUGUUGGAUCGGAGGGUGAAGGCUAGGGCCAUUUCCUCCAGAAAUGUCCUGGAACUUGCAGGUGCCUUGGUGGAAGAGUGGGGUAACAUCUCACAGCAUGAACUAGUCUGGUGCAGUCCAUGAGGAGGAGAUGUACUGCAGUACUUAAUGCAGCUGGUGGCCACACCAGAUACUGACUGUUACUUUGAUUUUUACACCCCCUUUGUUCAGGGAGACAUUAUUCCAUUUCUGUUAGUCACAUGUCUGUGGAACUUAUUCAGUUUAUGUCUCAGUUGUUGAAUCUUGUUAUGUUCAUACAAAUAUUUACACAUGUUAAGUUUGCUGAAAAUAAAUGCAUUUGAGAGUGAGAG
This is a long non-coding RNA of Oncorhynchus nerka (sockeye salmon), 3060 nucleotides long. RefSeq lists it as uncharacterized. Lineage: Eukaryota; Metazoa; Chordata; Actinopteri; Salmoniformes; Salmonidae. The transcript has 3 exons. The record is from RefSeq and is a predicted model, not a curated record.